Molecule: ribosomal RNA, 494 nt
Filed under: uncultured bacterium
Lineage: Bacteria
Description: partial 16S ribosomal RNA
Rfam family: Bacterial small subunit ribosomal RNA
Source: RNAcentral
GACGAACGCUGGCGGCGUGCUUAACACAUGCAAGUCGAACGGAAAGGCCUGCUUUCCCUUGUGGAUUGCGGGUACUCGAGUGGCGAACGGGUGAGUAACACGUGAGUGAUCUGCCCCCAACUUGGGUAUAAGCCUGGGAAACUGGGUCUAAUUCCCGAUAGGACUGCAGGGUGGUGCCUGUGGUGGAAAACGAUUUUCUAGUGGUUGGGGAUGAGCUCGCGGCCUAUCAGCUUGUUGGUGGGGUAAUGGCCUACCAAGGCGGCGACGGGUAGCCGGCCUGAGAGGGUGGACGGCCACAUUGGGACUGAGAUACGGCCCAGACUCGUACGAGAGGCAGCAGUGGGGAAUAUUGGACAAUGGGCGGAAGCCUGAUGCAGCGACGCCGCGUGGGGGAUGACGGCCUUCGGGUUGUAAACUCCUUUCGACCGAGAGGAAGCCACCUGGUUGGAAGGGUGGUGACGGUAGUGGUAGAAGAAGCACCGGCUAACUACGUG